GACGCGGGGCGGGCCGCGGGCCGCGGGCUGCAGGACGGCGGGCGCUGGGUUCGGCCUGGCUGGGCCAGCGGCUCCUAACACCGGACGGGCGGCUGCGGCGGCACUUCCGGGUUGGCCUUCUCCAUGUUGGUCUCGGGAACGUGAAGGGGCGGGGCCUCGAGGUCAGGGGUCAGCGCCUCCCUGGUUGCCGUGGCGACUGGAGGCACGCGACGCGGGCGCGAUGGCGGGGACUCUAGGCCCGGGAUUUGAUGCUGCUUGGGCCUGGCCCAGUGGCGGGUCCUGGGGACGUGGCAGAGGCCGGCAGACUAGAGUUUUCAUCUCAUGGAAAAUUCAGAAUCAGAAUCAAAAACAGCUGAGGUAGUUACUCGGGUGCCUUCCUUCAACCUAUUCAAAAGAAUAUAGGAUGAACGGAGUGAAGACCCAAGCUUUCUGAACUUCAUUGAGCCAGAAAGAUGUGUUUUAUUUCAUGGAGUUUAUGGAAUGACUACAGCAUAGGUAAGCUUUUACACAGCACCACAUUGACUUGAGGUAAUCAUAAAAUAAAAAUGGACAAGGAGACCC
RNAcentral lists this long non-coding RNA (561 nucleotides) under Rhinopithecus bieti (black snub-nosed monkey). Its description in RNAcentral is "lncRNA (ENSRBIG00000045938.1)". Lineage: Eukaryota; Metazoa; Chordata; Mammalia; Primates; Cercopithecidae. The record is from RNAcentral.